Long non-coding RNA from Helianthus annuus (common sunflower), 329 nucleotides. RefSeq lists it as uncharacterized. The transcript is spliced from 5 exons. NCBI's taxonomy places the organism in Eukaryota, Viridiplantae, Streptophyta, Magnoliopsida, Asterales, Asteraceae. The record is from RefSeq and is a predicted model, not a curated record.
AAAUGAAAGAUGGAGACAAUAAGAACGUCCUAAACACUGCAUUGCAUUUUGCAGUUAGUAUGAAAAAAAGAUUGGAUUCAGGUCAAACGGCACAUGAUGGCCCGUAUUUUUUAAAGGUCAACUGGCACGUGAUGGCCCGUAUGAGGUACAACUAACUAUACUAGUGGAGGUUUAUGAGUUGGAUAUACUCCUAUUCUCUUGGUGAUGAACAAAUGAAAGACGGAGACAAUAAGAACGUCCUAAACACUGCAUUGCAUCUUGAAGUUAGUAUGAAAAAAAGAUUGGAUUCAGGUCAAACGGCACAUGAUGGCCCGUAUUUUUUAAAGGUA